Long non-coding RNA from Daphnia carinata, 1136 nucleotides. RefSeq lists it as uncharacterized. The transcript is spliced from 4 exons. The record is from RefSeq and is a predicted model, not a curated record. NCBI's taxonomy places the organism in Eukaryota, Metazoa, Arthropoda, Branchiopoda, Diplostraca, Daphniidae.
AGUGACUACUCUAAAGCUAAUUUAGAAAAUUACCAAAAUUAAUUACAAUGAUUGACUGAUGUUUUAGUUUAUUGUUCUGUACAGCAUACAAAUAUCGUAUCAAUUCAAAUCCUUCACAUAUGUGAAAGCAUUGGACAAUUUGUUGUGAAAUAUUCCACCUACCAAACGCAAAACAACUGAAUACAAUCAGACAAGCAUUGUUUAUUGGACUAUGAAAACACAUCAGGACCAACAAACCCGCAUAAGACGAUAUACAAAGACUACAACUAUGCAAAGAUAAGUACAUAAAUUCAAAAUAUACUAAGAAAAGCUUUUAACUGAGGAAAAUGGUGAGUGGAACGGUGAAAACUGAGAAACUAUCACAUAGACAUUGGUAUUUUCUGGAAGGUAAAGCAGAAUAUUUGCGAUUUUACCAUAAAUCUGGAUCGUCUUGAAUCGGAACGUGACGGCGGAACUGGGCCUGAAUGUUUUCGGGUAGCGAACUCAUCUCUGCCAUGUUCCGGAACAGACCAGGUGGCAAGAAACCAAUCAAAAGCGGAGCGUGCUGCUCCAAGAUUCUUCUUCUUUCCUCUGCGAUUGCUUCGUCCUCGGCCUGUUGACGCAAUUCUUCCAUGCGGCGUUCUUCCUUCUUCUCAGCGAAUUCCAAUUUCUUCAGCUGACGUCGCUCUUCCAGUAAGGCCGCCUGCUCUUUCUGCAAUUGCGUUAGAUCCUUGUGCCUUCGUUCAGCGACCUCUCGUUCGGCCUUUUCCUCCAUCGCGGCUUGCUCCAGCAUCUAUCAGAAAAAUUCGAAUGGUAUCAAGCCCAUUUUGCUAGUUCAAGUUGGCGCAAUUGUUCAGCCAUAUCUUCAUUCCAUUUGAUUCUUUGGGCUUGAGUCAUCUUCUCUAGUUCUUCAGCUUUUUUAGUUUCCAGCUCUUCCUUCUCUUCACAGCCAUAUUCAAUCCAUAACUCUUCUCGUUCACGGCGCCGGCGCUAUCUUUUUGAAGCCGAUGGCGGAUAGCAGCAAGUUUCUCGGCUUUCUCUUUCCUUUCUUGCUGCUGCAUUUGACUCAAUCGACGUCGUUGGAGUUGGCAUUCUUCAAUUAACCUAUCUUCCUCCAUUUCAAUAAACUUCUGGAUGGCUCUCCAUUGGUUCUGCAA